This 72-nucleotide transfer RNA is filed under the name Unio delphinus. Its description in RNAcentral is "tRNA-Gln". The record is from RNAcentral. Lineage: Eukaryota; Metazoa; Mollusca; Bivalvia; Unionida; Unionidae.
UUAAAGGUUAGUGAAUUUUUACAAGCACGUAUAAAUUUGAAUUAUAAAAAGGAAAUAACUAUUCCACCUUUA